Molecule: ribosomal RNA, 497 nt
Filed under: uncultured bacterium
Lineage: Bacteria
Description: partial 16S ribosomal RNA
Rfam family: Bacterial small subunit ribosomal RNA
Source: RNAcentral
GAUGAACGCUGGCGGCGUGCCUAAUACAUGCAAGUCGAGCGAACGGACGAGAAGCUUGCUUCUCUGAUGUUAGCGGCGGACGGGUGAGUAACACGUGGAUAACCUACCUAUAAGACUGGGAUAACUUCGGGAAACCGUAGCUAAUACCGGAUAAUAUUUUGAACCGCAUGGUUCAAAAGUGAAAGACGGUCUUGCUGUCACUUAUAGAUGGAUCCGCGCUGCAUUAGCUAGUUGGUAAGGUAACGGCUUACCAAGGCAACGAUGCAUAGCCGACCUGAGAGGGUGAUCGGCCACACUGGAGCUGAGACACGGUCCAGACUCCUACGGGAGGCAGCAGUAGGGAAUCUUCCGCAAUGGGCGAAAGCCUGACGGAGCAACGCCGCGUGAGUGAUGAAGGUCUUCGGAUCGUAAAACUCUGUUAUUAGGGAAGAACAUAUGUGUAAGUAACUGUGCACAUCUUGGCGGUACCUAAUCAGAAAGCCACGGCUAACUACGUG